Molecule: long non-coding RNA, 319 nt
Organism: Cyprinus carpio carpio
Lineage: Eukaryota; Metazoa; Chordata; Actinopteri; Cypriniformes; Cyprinidae
Source: Ensembl
CCUGGAUGGUGGUGUGUAACGUGGCCAUCCUCUGGGCCCUGAAACGCUCACGAGGUUCUGGUAAAGAUGAGAUGAAUCCUAUGAAAAGAAAGGCCUUUAAGAUGGUGCUGUCAAUUUUGAUCAUAAUCAUAAGCAACUAUCUCCCUCCAGUGGCUCUGUUCCCCUUUGAAGACCAUUAUCCCCAUAAGGUCUUCACUUGCUAUGUGCAGCCAGUAUGUUAUGCCUUUGUAAACAUCAGCAGCACUGUCCAGCCUUUAACUUACUUAUCCCGCUUAGAGAAAGUACCAUUCUUGCCUGAAUCUUGUGUGGAGAAGUUAAG